UCUUUGGAGGACUAGUGGUUAGGCCUUGCUGCUCUCACCACCGCAGCCCAGGUUUGAUUCCUGGCUAGGGAA
Molecule: transfer RNA, 72 nt
Filed under: Pangasianodon hypophthalmus (striped catfish)
Lineage: Eukaryota; Metazoa; Chordata; Actinopteri; Siluriformes; Pangasiidae
Description: tRNA-Glu
Source: RNAcentral